This 492-nucleotide ribosomal RNA is filed under the name uncultured bacterium. RNAcentral's name for it is "partial 16S ribosomal RNA". It matches the Rfam family "Bacterial small subunit ribosomal RNA", at positions 29 to 507 of the family's 1533-position model. The record is from RNAcentral.
AGUGAACGCUGGCGGUAGGCCUAACACAUGCAAGUCGAACGGCAGCACAGUAAGAGCUUGCUCUUACGGGUGGCGAGUGGCGGACGGGUGAGGAAUACAUCGGAAUCUACUUUUUCGUGGGGGAUAACGUAGGGAAACUUACGCUAAUACCGCAUACGACCUACGGGUGAAAGCAGGGGAUCUUCGGACCUUGCGCGAUUGAAUGAGCCGAUGUCGGAUUAGCUAGUUGGCGGGGUAAAGGCCCACCAAGGCGACGAUCCGUAGCUGGUCUGAGAGGAUGAUCAGCCACACUGGAACUGAGACACGGUACACACUCUUACGGGAGGCAGCAGUGGGGAAUAUUGGACAAUGGGCGCAAGCCUGAUCCAGCCAUACCGCGUGGGUGAAGAAGGCCUUCGGGUUGUAAAGCCCUUUUGUUGGGAAAGAAAAGCAGCAGGUUAAUACCCCGCUGUUCUGACGGUACCCAAAGAAUAAGCACCGGCUAACUUCGUG